GAGGCCGAAGCUUAACUGCUAUUGGAAUCAUCUGCAAGCGUAUUAACGCAAAAGCGAUGCUGUGGGUUCAAAUCCCGCCGGCCUCA
RNAcentral lists this transfer RNA (86 nucleotides) under Lacticaseibacillus manihotivorans DSM 13343 = JCM 12514. Its description in RNAcentral is "Lactobacillus manihotivorans DSM 13343 = JCM 12514 tRNA". It matches the Rfam family "tRNA". From Rfam's summary of the family: Transfer RNA (tRNA) molecules are approximately 80 nucleotides in length. Lineage: Bacteria; Bacillati; Bacillota; Bacilli; Lactobacillales; Lactobacillaceae. The record is from Rfam by way of RNAcentral.